UGUUUUUCCUCUGUUUUACUUUGAUGAUUGUUAUGUUAUGAAGCUUUUCUUGUAUAAAGCUCAAUUUCUCCAUGACCACGGAAGUAAACAUCCUGAUGCAUUCUUGUCAUGUGAAUGUUGAGAGCGUGUUCAUUUUUGAAAUCUCCUUUCUGACAGACCUAUCCCACGGGAUCAGCUGAGAUGUUAUUUCACUGGAUUAUUUAAUGGAUAGACUUAUUGGGCAUAUAUUUGGAUAUCUCUGUCCUCAACAUGGAAAAUAUGUUUUGUUCCUAACCAUCUAUAAUCAAUUCUCUAUGAAGUUCAGCCUGGCUGCUCUUCCUUUGGAAAUACACAGUUAGUCAAUCAACAUAGAAACACACAAACUUGAAGGAUAUUCUAGUGAGGGCUUGUGGAAAUGAUCUAUGUCUACUCUCAGAAUGGUGAAAGACUAUCAGAUUAUGCAAAGACUAACAGAAUAUCCUCUUUUGAAACACUGAAACAAGAAAAUCAAACAGGAUGGAGGAUUUAAGAAGCACAUAGAUAAAUAUGAUUUCCAACCAAUUUAACCAGUACCAUCAAAGACUGUGGUUUACAGGAUGACAAAGAAAGGACCCAGGAUUGUAUCUUUUACUGUCAGACACUAACUAUGAAUAAGAUGUAGCCAUUUAUCAAACUGAGAUCUAUAGUCAAAUCAAAUAUUGAAAAUAUGAUUUUCUGAUAGCAUGAAUUUAUUCUCACCAACUUCAAAGUAUCUAUAGCUGACUUUUUAUUUUUACCAACUCAUAUUGAAGACAGUUGUUAUGUAUGAGAAGUAUACAUUUAAACCUUUUAUUUUUCAUCUUAUUUCUAUAACCCCUUAGAAAUUACAUAGAUAUUCAGAUGCUAAAUUUGAUGUAAUUAUUACUUUCCUGGAAAUGUAAAUAUAUUUUAUUUGUGUAUAUGUGUGUAUUGUGCCCUAUAAUUAAAUUUAGAAAUUGAAAUAUGAUAAAGGUCCCUUAAUAUCCCACAUCAAGAUGCAGGUGCCCAAUAAUCUGUGAUGCAAUAAUAUCUUGAAUAUUAUUUAUUAUCUCAUACACUUCAUAUGCUUACUACACAGAAAAGGUUAGCGUAAUACACUUAGUUUUAUAGGACACUUUGUCAGGGUCAAAGCAUGAGAUUAUUGAGAUAACUACCUUUGACAAUAAUUUGCAAACUUUACAUCAUAAGAUUUGCUAUAGAUUUUUGGAUCAUUUACUCCUGAGUAAAAGUUAGUUCCUGAGAUUACUGAUUUGAAUCAUUUAAUGCAAUAACUUCAACAUUGUGUGAUAACUUAAAGACUUUAUAAAAAUUAGGUGCAAAUUCUUAGGAAAGUAUUGAAAUGUUAAUCAAAUGUACAAUAUUCAAGGGUGUUUAUAUGACUAUUACUAUGUAAUACCUUGGGUUUCUGUAAAAAUCCUAUAUUCACUACAUAGAUAAAGACCUGUAUAAUAUAUAUGUUGAACUAUGAUGAAGGAAAAAAAAGGUCAAAAGCUCUCCCCUUUCAUUUCUUUCAUAUUCUGUCAUACACAACAAUAGAUAAAUUGCAGUCAUUUAUCAAACUGAGGUCUAAUCAAAUCCUAGAAUUGAUAUUGUGAUUUUCAGAUAGCAUGAGCUCUUUAAAAACUAAUUCUCACAGACCUCAAAGUAUCUACAGGUGACUUUUAUUUUUUUUUUUUACCAAUUCAUAUUGAAGACAGAUGUUAUGUAUGAUUUUUAUACAUUGGAUCCUUUAUUUUUCAUCUUAUUUCUAUAUCCCCCUAUCAAAUAACACAGAUAAGAUGUUUAAAAGCUAGCUUUGGUGUAAUUAUUACUUUCCUGGAACUGUAAAUACAUUUUGUUUGUGUAUGUAUCAUGUUUAAUUUUGAAUUUAAAAUUGGUCUCAAUAAGACCCCACAAUAAAGAUGCAAGUGCCCCCUAAUCUGUGAUUUAAUAAUAUCUUGAAUAUCUUUAUCAUACCAUAUUGUACAUACUUAUUACAUAUAGAAUGGUUGUAUGAAUACACUUUGUUGUUUAGGACACUUUGUCAAGGUCAAAGCAUAAGAUUAUUGAGAUGACUUCUUUGACAAUAAUUUGUAACUUACAAACUUCACAUCAUAAGUACACAGAUGAAGAAUGAAUGAAUAAGAGAUUUCUAUAGAUUUUUGGGUCAUUUUUAUCCUGGGUUAUAUUUUCAGUUGUUGUAACUUUAACAAUUUGUGAUAACCUAGAGACUUUUUAUCAGCUUUAUUGGGUGGCAUGGCAUAUUCUUUGGUAAAUCAUAUGCACUAUGUUCAAGGAUGUUUAAAGACUAUUACUAUGUAAUACCCAGGGUUUCUGUAAAAAUCUUAUUAUCACUGCAUAGAUAAAAACUGGUUGGAAUAAUACAUGUUGACAAUAAUUUGCAACCUACAAACUUCACAUCAUAAGUAAAGAAAGAUUCAGAGAUUUUCUAUAGAUUUUUGGAUCAUUUUUCUCCUGGAUUAUAUUUUCAGUUGUUGUAACUUUAACAAUUUGUGAUAACCUAGAGACUUUUUAUCAGCUUUAUUGGGUGGCAUGGCAUAUUCUUUGGUAAAUCAUAUGCACUAUGUUCAAGGAUGUUUAAAGACUAUUACUAUGUAAUACCUUAGAAUUCUAUUAAAAUCUUAUUAUCACUGCAUAGAUAAAAACUGGUUGGAAUAAUACAUGUAUAUUUUUUGAAAUAAGGAUUAGGGGAAAAGUCAAGAAUGUGGAUAUGACUUUUAUUCAAGUGGUGCUGUACGACAACUCUGGUGAUUUACUUACCUUCAGUCAUAAAAAAAAAUAGGUAUUGGGAAGACUCCUCUAGAUUUUGAAAUUUUUAUUCAAAAGUACAGAAUUUUUUUAAAGUUUGAAAGAUUGAAUAGCAGCAUAUCAUUUGCUUGUGAAUUAAAAAAUAAAUCCAAUCAUAUACAUCUUUAGAUGAUAAUUGUAGAAUUUUAUCAAUUCCUGGACUUCUGUCUUGAUAUCAUCCCUUAAUGUCUUUAAAAUUUUAAUGAUUGUCUUUUAGUUUUAAUUGAAUUAGUUUCUUUCCUGCAUGUGAAAAUGACAUCACCCAAAGAUAUGAAGAAGACAAUUUUCAUCACAGUGAAAGAGAUUGUUUUGUUAAACAUAAUGCAUUGAUGCACAAAUAUAUUUUUAAAUUUCUAAUAGCUAGGGUUCAUAUUUCUUUAUAUGGAAUGCUAAGUACUGUUGAUUUCAAUUUUUGUGAACAAAAACAUACUAGUAGAAAAAAAAAAGUACAUGAUGUGUCAGAAAAGCAUGUGGAAACCUGAUGACUUUGUCAUUGUUGAUUAAAUCAAUUAUGAGUUUCAUCUUUGUUACAUUGUAAACAUUUCUAAGUAGGGCAUACAUCAGAAACUCUUAAAAUUCUGAGUAUCAGGGUUUAACACAUCAAUUCCAAAUGAUUUUUGGACGCUUUUUAUGUAUCAAAAAAAAAAAAAAAAAAAAAAUAGAAUAUCUGUUCGCAGAUGUUUCAAAAGGAAAACAAGCACAAAGAAAUGAUUUGUAAUGUUUUUUAUGUGAUUCAUGUAAAAUGUAUUUUAAAAGUGUACCCUAACAUUUAUCUUUUGCAUAAAUACAUAUUUUUGUGGAGAAUUUUUCAUAACUUUGAAAAAGUAGUCUUAUUGUUUAAUAUGAUUAACUUAGAAUUUUGUAGACUUUAAAGUUGUACAUGAUGUGUUACACAUCUUACAUAUGUAACCAUUUUCAUUUCCAGGGCAUUCAGCAUAUAUUGUGGUUUUGUCUUAAAUUUGUUUGCUUAUGUAAUCAAUAAUUUGAGAAUACUCAAAUUAGGUAAUAUAUGAGAGAAUAAACAAGAAAAUCAGGUUUAAAAAAUGAUUUUUACAAUUAAUAAGGGGUUCUUCUAUAUAUUUAAUCUAUAAGUAAAUUCAGUUUAUACAAUUAAGGUAUUUCUGUAUGAAAUAAACUUGCAUUUAAGCAUUUUAAGUCAAUUGUAAACAUUACUUUAACCAGUUUUAAAAAAUGAUUAGAUUCACUGUCAGCAUGUUAUUUCUUAUAAAAUAAAUGAGAAAACAAACAAUUUAAUUUGAGUCAGUUACUUAAUGUAAAUAAGAAGCAUUGGAAAUUGGGAAUAUUUCACAAAGUUGAUUGAGCAUAAUUAAUUUAUACAAAAUUUUAUUCACUUAAGCAUUAAAGA
This is a long non-coding RNA of Saccostrea cuccullata (small rock oyster), 4150 nucleotides long. RefSeq lists it as uncharacterized. Lineage: Eukaryota; Metazoa; Mollusca; Bivalvia; Ostreida; Ostreidae. The transcript has 4 exons. The record is from RefSeq and is a predicted model, not a curated record.